This 509-nucleotide ribosomal RNA is filed under the name uncultured bacterium. RNAcentral describes it as "partial 16S ribosomal RNA". It matches the Rfam family "Bacterial small subunit ribosomal RNA", at positions 28 to 523 of the family's 1533-position model. The record is from RNAcentral.
GACGAACGCUGGCGGCGUGCCUAACACAUGCAAGUUGAGCGACGAACCAGGGCUUGCCCUGGGGCAAAGCAGCGAACGGGUGAGUAACACGUGGGUAACCUACCCCGAUAACCGGGACAACCCGAGGAAACUCGGGCUAAUACCGGUUGUGCUCACUGAACUCCGGUUCAGUGCGUAAAGGAAGCUUCGGCCUCCGUAUCGGGAGGGGCCCGCGGCCCAUUAGCUAGUUGGUGAGGUAACGGCUCACCAAGGCCGCGAUGGGUAGCUGGUCUGAGAGGACGAUCAGCCACACUGGGACUGAGACACGGCCCAGACUCCUACGGGAGGCAGCAGUGGGGAAUCUUGCGCAAUGCGCGAAAGCGUGACGCAGCAACGCCGCGUGGGGGAAGAAGGCCUUCGGGUUGUAAACCCCUUUCAGGAGGGACGAAGGUUCGGCGGUGAAUAGCCGUCCGGACUGACGGUACCUCCACAAGAAGCCCCGGCUAACUACGUGCCAGCCGCCGCGGUAA